ACGGCUCAGUAACACGUGGAUAACCUACCCAAUAGUCUGGGAUAACCCCGGGAAACUGGGGAUAAUACCGGGUAGAUCAUCUUUGCUGGAAGGCUUGGUGGUUGAAACUCUUCGGGGGCUGUUGGAUGGGUCUGCGGCUGAUUAGGUUGUUGCCGGUGUAAUGUACCGUCAAGCCUGUAAUCAGUACGGGUUGUGGGAGCAAGAGCCCGGAGAUGGAUUCUGAGACACGAAUCCAGGCCCUACGGGGCGCAGCAGGCGCGAAAACUCUACAAUGCAGGCAACUGCGAUAGGGGAACAUCGAGUGAUCCUCAUAUUGGGGGUCUGUCCACCCGCCUAAAAAGCGGGUGUUAGCAAGGGCCGGGCAAGACCGGUGCCAGCCGCCGCGGUAAUACCGGCGGCUCGAGUGGUGGCCGAUAUUAUUGAGUCUAAAGGGUCCGUAGCCGGCUUUGCAAGUCUCUCGGGAAAUCCAGCGGCUUAACCGUUGGUCGUCCGGGGGGUACUACAUUGCUUGGGACUGGGAGAGGCGAGAGGUACUCAGGGGGUAGGAGUGAAAUCCUGUAAUCCUCUGGAGACCACCGGUGGCGAAGGCGUCUCGCCAGAACAGGUCCGACGGUGAGGGACGAAAGCUAGGGGCACGAACCGGAUUAGAUACCCGGGUAGUCCUAGCCGUAAACGAUGCUCGCUAGGUGUCACAACAGUCGUGAACUGUUGUGGUGCCGUAGGGAAGCCGUGAAGCGAGCCACUUGGGAAGUACGACCGCAAGGUUGAAACUUAAAGGAAUUGGCGGGGGAGCAC
RNAcentral lists this ribosomal RNA (795 nucleotides) under uncultured archaeon. Its description in RNAcentral is "bacterial SSU rRNA". It matches the Rfam family "Archaeal small subunit ribosomal RNA", at positions 85 to 879 of the family's 1478-position model. The record is from RNAcentral.